Molecule: non-coding RNA, 861 nt
Organism: Arachis ipaensis
Lineage: Eukaryota; Viridiplantae; Streptophyta; Magnoliopsida; Fabales; Fabaceae
Source: RefSeq, a predicted model, not a curated record
AUUUCUAAUUUAUUUGUUAUAAAAAAUUAUUAUUUAAUUACUAAUUAUUGUUAACUCUAUUUGAUUUCAGGGACAUGAUACCAGUGACCCACGCUUAUCUCCUAACCCUCCUUCUACCCCUCCUUCUACUAGGGAAGAUGAUAACAGUGACCCACCCUUAUCUCCUGAAAAGAAAUGUACUGUGUUACCUUUGGUGUGCCUUUUAAUUUGUUUUUUGUUUGGGGUUUUAGUUUACAUUUUCGGGAAGUUUAGGGAUAAAUCUAAUAAGGGUAAUUCUAUAAAGAAGUUUGUGGUAAUUGUGGAUGGCUUCUAUUUCAUAGUAGUUACUCUAAGCACAAUAGGUUACGGGGAUAUUACCCCUAUUUCUGAAGCUGGUAAAGUCUUUACUAUGAUUUUAGCUCUUUCGUGUCCUGUGGUUUCUGCUAUUCUUGAAGGCUACCUGAAAUGCCUUCUUAGAAAAUUAGAUAAGUGCUUAGCUAAAAAAUUAGAAGGAGGCAUCUUAGAUUGUUUGGUAGUCAACCAUAAAAUAGGUUAUUGGACAAAAGUUUUCUUAGCACUUCUUGCUGGCCUGUUUGUCUUUGGCAUCGGAGCAGUCAUAGUCCAUUAUUCAGAGAAAAUGAGUUGGUUAGAUAGUGUUUACUUUUCUGUGAUUUCCAUAACAACAGUAGGUUAUGGGGAUUACUCGUUUAGAACAACAGUAGGAAAGUGUGUUACAUGUAUUUGGUUUUUAUUUAGCUCUAUUAUUUAUAGUUUUGCAAUUUCAUUUCUGAUAAGUUGUAUUCUUAGGCCAAUUACUCCUCAAAACGAAUGAAUUGUAUUUUGUGAAUAGUAAGAUGACCAUGAAUGAACAGUUUUCUUUUC